Long non-coding RNA from Junco hyemalis (dark-eyed junco), 1881 nucleotides. The record is from Ensembl. Lineage: Eukaryota; Metazoa; Chordata; Aves; Passeriformes; Passerellidae.
CCUGUGCCGGGCCGGCCCAUGACGAUCUCCUUGCGGGGGGGUCCCUGCUGCUGGGGGGGGGUCCCGAACUCUCCGGGCACGAGCAGCGGCAGCAGCGCGGCGGGGGAGGGGUGGAACGGCACCGGCUGCAGCGGGGGGGGCGCCCCGAACGGGGGGGGGGCCCCGGGGGGGCCGCGCUCGGGGCCGGCCCCGGGGGGGGGCGGGGCGGAGCCGGGAGAGGGGCGGAGCCUCCCGGCGUUGAUUGGCACCGGCGCGGCCAGGGGGGGCGGCGGGGGGUGGGGGGGCGGAGCUUUUUGGGGAGGGGGCGGCCCCAGGGGGCGGGGCCUCGGAGGGAGGGGCGGCUCCGGGAGCGGCACCUCGGGGUUGCGGACGAUGACGGGGGAGCCCCGCGGCACCGGCGGGACCCGGCGGGCACCGGGGCCGGGGUCGGCCGUGAGCCCCGCGGGGGAGCGGGGGGCGAAUAACGGCGAGAGGGCGCGGAACAUCGCCCCGCCCCCCGCCCCGCCCCCCGCCGCCGCACCGGGACCCCCCCCAUCGCCCCCCUCCCCUAUCGCCGUCUCCGCUUUGCGCUUGCCGGGGCUCAGCGGCACCGGGAACGGCAAACCGGGCUGGAAAACGGGCGGGACCCCCGAGGGGGGGCGGGGCCGGGGAGGAGGGGGCGGGGGCGGGGGCGGGGGCGGGGGGCUCAGCCCCUCCCCGGGCCGGGGGGUGCCCGAGCUCAGGUGCCGCCCCCGGGCCCGCGGCGACGCCGUGACCGGGCUGAAGUUGGCGGGGCGGAACCCGAACAGCGGCGACGGCGACGGCGACGGCGUGGGCGAGAACGGGGACUGCGUGGAGGCGGGCGAGAAGCUCGGCGUGCCCGAGCGGGACGAGCCCAGCGACACGAGCAUCACGGCGGCCUCGCACUCGUCGAACUCGAAGCGCGACAGGUCCGGGUUGGGCGGCCCCGGGCGCGCCCGCGCGUCCCCUUCGCUCUCCCGGGACGUUUCGUCGCCCCACUCGAAGUCGGCGCUGCCGCCGCGCUGGCUCGGGGGUCCCGGCGGGCCCGGGCGGGGGUCGGGCAGCCCCUCGAGCUCCUUGGUGCGCAUGGAGAGGUGGCGGGAGCAGAAGCCGCGCCGCUGCGACUCCUUGGUGCAGCCGUCGCGGGAGCAGAGCCGCCGCCACUGCUUGCCGUUGAAUUUCUUGCGGAUGCCGUUCGGGGUGCAAACCACGUCGCCCUUCUUGUACUUGGGCUGGGGGGUCCCGCCGGGCUGGGCCGGGGGUCCCGCGGCUCGCUGAGGGGUGGGGGGCUGCUGCUGCUGCUGCUGCUGUUGUUGUGAUUGGGGCGCAGCGCUCAGCUUGGAAACCUCCGCGUCCUCCGGCUGCCGCGGCGCGCCUUCAUCCUCCUCAUCCUCGGCGCCGUGCAGCGCGGCCGGGCCGGGCUCGGGGGGCCACGGGGGUCGCAGCAGCCGGAGCCCCGAGCGCGGCACCCACACGGGCGGCGCGGGCGGCGGCGGCGCGAAGCGCACCCGGUACGAGGGCGGCUUGGCGCUCACCUCCACCACGGUGCCCGGCCGGUAGAGCGUCUCGGCGGGGUCCAGGCGGGCGCACACGGCCGUGCCCACGCCCAGCGCGCCCGCCGGCGGGGUCGCGUCCAGCACCACGGCCGGGGGGUCCCCGAGCAGGAAGCCGCCCUCCAGGAAGGUGACGCCGCGGUCGCCGGCGAACUGCACGCCCAGCUCGUGCCCGCCGCGCCGCAGCUGCUUCACCACGGCCGGGCGGAAAACGCCGUCGCGCCGCGCCAGCACCCGCUGGCACCGCAAGCGCCGGAACGCGGCCUCGAGCUCGGGGGGCUCCGGGGCGGGGAGAGCGCCGGGGGGCGCGGGGAGACCCCCGGGAGCG